RNAcentral lists this ribosomal RNA (429 nucleotides) under bacterium. RNAcentral's name for it is "bacterial SSU rRNA". It matches the Rfam family "Bacterial small subunit ribosomal RNA", at positions 354 to 776 of the family's 1533-position model. The record is from RNAcentral.
GUGGGGAAUAUUGCGCAAUGGGGGGAACCCUGACGCAGCAACGCCGCGUGAGCGACGAAGGCCUUCGGGUCGUAAAGCUCUGUCAAGAGGGACGAAGUCUAAUAAGCCAAUACCUUAUUAGGUGACGGUACCACUGAAGGAAGCCCCGGCUAACUACGUGCCAGCAGCCGCGGUAAUACGUAGGGGGCGAGCGUUGUCCGGAAUUACUGGGCGUAAAGGGCGUGUAGGCGGCUAAGUAAGUCAGGUGUGAAAACUCUGGGCUCAACCUAGAGAUUGCACCUGAAACUGCGUAGCUUGAGGGUAGGAGAGGAAAGUGGAAUUCCUAGUGUAGCGGUGAAAUGCGUAGAUAUUAGGAGGAACACCAGUGGCGAAGGCGACUUUCUGGCCUAACCCUGACGCUGAGGCGCGAAAGCGUGGGGAGCAAACAGG